CCAGUGGCGAAGGCGACUCACUGGACAGUUAUUUGACGCUGAGGUGCGAAAAGCGUGGGGGAGCAAACAGGAUUAGAUACCCUGGUAGUCCACGCCGUAAACGAUGAUAACUAGCUGUCCGGGCUCAUGGAGCUUGGGUGGCGCAGCUUAACGCAUUAAGUUAUCCCGCCUGGGGAGUACGGUCGCAAGAUUAAAACUCAAAGGAAUUGACGGGGGCCCUGCACAAGCGGUGGAGCAUGUGGUUUAAUUUGAAGCAACGCGCAGAACCUUACCAGCCUUUGACAUCCUAGGACGACUUCUGGAGACAGAUUUCUUCCCUUCGGGGACCUAGUGACAGGUGCUGCAUGGCUGUCGUCAGCUCGUGUCGUGAGAUGUUGGGUUAAGUCCCGCAACGAGCGCAACCCUCGUCCUUAGUUGCCAUCAUUUAGUUGGGCACUUUAAGGAAACUGCCGGUGAUAAGCCGGAGGAAGGUGGGGAUGACGUCAAGUCCUCAUGGCCCUUACAGGCUGGGCUACACACGUGCUACAAUGGCAUCUACAGUGAGCAGCGAUCCCGCGAGGGUUAGCUAAUCUCCAAAAGAUGUCUCAGUUCGGAUUGUUCUCUGCAACUCGAGAGCAUGAAGGCGGAAUCGCUAGUAAUCGCGGAUCAGCAUGCCGCGGUGAAUACGUUCCCAGGCCUUGUACACACCGCC
RNAcentral lists this ribosomal RNA (691 nucleotides) under Erythrobacter sp. RNAcentral's name for it is "bacterial SSU rRNA". It matches the Rfam family "Bacterial small subunit ribosomal RNA", at positions 709 to 1394 of the family's 1533-position model. The record is from RNAcentral. Lineage: Bacteria; Pseudomonadati; Pseudomonadota; Alphaproteobacteria; Sphingomonadales; Erythrobacteraceae.